This 372-nucleotide ribosomal RNA is filed under the name uncultured organism. Its description in RNAcentral is "partial 16S ribosomal RNA". It matches the Rfam family "Bacterial small subunit ribosomal RNA", at positions 527 to 896 of the family's 1533-position model. The record is from RNAcentral.
GUAGGUGGCAAGCGUUGUCCGGAAUUAUUGGGCGUAAAGCGCGCGCAGGCGGUCCUUUAAGUCUGAUGUGAAAGCCCACGGCUCAACUGUGGAGGGUCAUUGGAAACUGGGGGACUUGAGUACAGAAGAGGAAAGCGGAAUUCCAAGUGUAGCGGUGAAAUGCGUAGAGAUUUGGAGGAACACCAGUGGCGAAGGCGGCUUUCUGGUCUGUAACUGACGCUGAGGCGCGAAAGCGUGGGGAGCAAACAGGGAUUAGAUACCCUGGUAGUCCACGCCGUAAACGAUGAGUGCUAAGUGUUAGGGGGUUUCCCGCCCCUUAGUGCUGCAGCUAACGCAUUAAGCACUCCGCCUGGGGAGUACGCCGCAAGGCUG